UACGUAGGGUGCGAGCGUUGUCCGGAAUUAUUGGGCGUAAAGAGCUUGUAGGCGGUUUGUCGCGUCUGCUGUGAAAAUCAGGGGCUCAACCCCGGACUUGCAGUGGGUACGGGCAGACUAGAGUGUGGUAGGGGAGACUGGAAUUCCUGGUGUAGCGGUGAAAUGCGCAGAUAUCAGGAGGAACACCGAUGGCGAAGGCAGGUCUCUGGGCCACUACUGACGCUGAGAAGCGAAAGCAUGGGGAGCGAACAGGAUUAGA
Molecule: ribosomal RNA, 259 nt
Filed under: uncultured prokaryote
Description: partial 16S ribosomal RNA
Rfam family: Bacterial small subunit ribosomal RNA
Source: RNAcentral